GAUCUAACCAUGAGCAGGUUGAAGCUUGGGUAAUACUAAGUGGAGGACCGAACCGACUGAUGUUGAAAAAUCAGCGGAUGACUUGUGGUUAGGGGUGAAAUGCCAAUCGAAUUCGGAGCUAGCUGGUUCUCCCCGAAAUGCGUUUUGGCGCAGCGGUAGAUGUUAUAGUUUAGGGGUAAAGCACUGUUACGUAUGCGGGCUGGUAAUUCGGUACCAAAUCGUUGCAAACUAAGAAUACUAAAUGUAUAGUCUACCAGUAAGACUGUGGGGGAUAAGCUCCAUUGUCAAGAGGGAAACAGCCCAGAGCACCAGUUAAGGCCCUUAAAUAAUUACUAAGUGGUAAAGGAGGUGGGAGUGCAUAAACAAUCAGGAGGUUUGCUUAGAAGCAGCAAUCCUUUAAAGAGUGCGUAAUAGCUCACUGAUCGAGUAAACCUGCGCCGAAAAUGUAUGGGACUAAGUAAUUUGCCGAAACUGUGCGAUAUAUAUUUAUAUAUCGGUAGGGGAGCGUUCUGUUGUAGGUCGAAGUAUUAGCGUAAGCGGAUAUGGACGAAGCAGAAGUGAGAAUGUCGGCUUGAGUAACGAAAAUAUAGGUGGGAAUCCUAUACCCCGAAAACCCAAGGUUUCCUCCGGAAGGCUCGUCCGCGGAGGGUAAGUCAGGACCUAAGGCGAGGCUGAAAAGCGUAGUCGAUGGACAACGGGUUAAUAUUCCCGUACCGUUUUUUAUUGAUAUCGAGGGACGGAGAAGGCUAAGCUAGCCGGAUAUUGGUUUUACCGGUUUAAGCGUUCAAGAUGUUGAGAAGCGGCGAAAACGCUUUGAGUUGAGACGUGAGUACGAGACGCUAAGGCGUCGAAGUAGUGGAUGUCAUACUUCCAAGAAAAGCUUGCACUGUCAUAAAUAAAAAACGCCUGUACCAUAACCGACACAGGUGGGUAGGUAGAGUAUACUAAGGGGCGCGAGAUAACUCUCUCUAAGGAACUCGGCAAAAUGACUCCGUAACUUCGGGAGAAGGAGUGCCUUAUUCGUAAGGCUGCAAUAACAAGAUCCAAGCAACUGUUUAUCAAAAACACAGGUCUCCGCUAAGUCGUAAGACGAUGUAUGGGGGCUGACGCCUGCCCAGUGCCAGAAGGUUAAAGAAGUCGGUUAGCAUUAGCGAAGCUGGUAACUGAAGCCCUGGUGAACGGCGGCCGUAACAAUAACGGUCCUAAGGUAGCGAAAUUCCUUGUCGGGUAAGUUCCGACCUGCACGAAUGGCGUAACGACUUCCCCGCUGUCUCCAACAUCGACUCAGCGAAAUUGAAUUGCCUGUCAAGAUGCAGGCUUCCCGCGGUUAGACGGAAAGACCCCGUGCACCUUUACUACAGCUUCGCACUGGUAUCAGGAUUGUGACGUGCAGGAUAGGUGGUAGGCAUCGAAGCGUGAACGCUAGUUCACGUGGAGCCUCCCUUGAGAUACCACCCUUCGCACUCUUGAUAUCUAACCGCGGUCCAUUAUCUGGAUCCGGGACCCUGCGUGGCGGGUAGUUUGACUGGGGCGGUCGCCUCCUAAAUGGUAACGGAGGCGUACAAAGGUUUCCUCUGAACGGGUAGAAAUCGUAUCUAGAGUGUAAAGGCAUAAGGAAGCUUGACUGUGAGACCUACAAGUCGAGCAGGGACGAAAGUCGGUCUUAGUGAUCUGACGGUACUGAGUGGAAAGGCCGUCACUCAACGGAUAAAAGUUACUCUAGGGAUAACAGGCUGAUCUCCCCCAAGAGUUCACAUCGACGGGGAGGUUUGGCACCUCGAUGUCGGCUCAUCGCAUCCUGGGGCGGUAGUACGUCCCAAGGGUUGGGCUGUUCGCCCAUGAAAGCGGUACGCGAGCUGGGUUCAGAACGUCGUGAGACAGUUCGGUCCAUAUCCGGUGUAGGCGUUAGAAUAUUGAGAGGAGCCUUCUUUAGUACGAGAGGACCGAGAAGGACAUACCUCUGGUGUACCAGUUAUCGUGCCAACGGUAAACGCUGGGUAGCUAUGUAUGGAGUGGAUAACCGCUGAAAGCAUCUAAGUGGGAAGCCCACCUCAAGAUAAGUAUUCUCAUCACGUAAGUGAGUAAGGUCACGGUAAGACUAACCGUUUGAUAGGCAUUAAGUGUAAGUACAGUAAUGUAUGUGCUGAGAUGUCCUAAUAGACCGAGGACUUG
RNAcentral lists this ribosomal RNA (2172 nucleotides) under Skeletonema marinoi. Its description in RNAcentral is "partial Bacterial large subunit ribosomal RNA". It matches the Rfam family "Bacterial large subunit ribosomal RNA", at positions 727 to 2925 of the family's 2925-position model. The record is from RNAcentral. Lineage: Eukaryota; Bacillariophyta; Thalassiosirophyceae; Thalassiosirales; Thalassiosiraceae.